Molecule: long non-coding RNA, 471 nt
Filed under: Homo sapiens (human)
Lineage: Eukaryota; Metazoa; Chordata; Mammalia; Primates; Hominidae
Description: HSALNT0254255
Source: RNAcentral
CGGGGCCUGACGAGUCCUUACAAGGCAGCGGCCAGCCACGCAGACCCCCUGGGCACCCGGGCUGCAGGCGGUGCCGUCCAGGACGCGGCCGAAGCUGUGGUAGAAGGCGUGCCCCUCAGCCAGGCAGUUGAGGUCGCACUGGUUGGGCGCUGAGGGCAGGAGGAGUCGGUGGGCCGGGGACCCCUGUUCGAGCUCCAGUCCCCCUCUACCAAGCUUCAUCAGGCAACCAUCACUUUGGGCAGAUGAAGCCCAGAGAUUUGGCCAAAGCCACACAUCGAGGCUGAGGCAGAGCCAGGACUGGACCGUAGGUGCUCUGCGUCCAGCAACCUGGGACUCGCAGACCCUCUCCCUGAGACUAAUGAGUUGUUCGCUCUGGACCAAUUCUGACCACAGGAGACCAGACUACUCACCCCCAUGGAAGGGCACCCACUGGUAGGUCUUCUGGGUGCCCAGGACAGGGCGGCCAUUGUA